Molecule: ribosomal RNA, 651 nt
Filed under: Triticum aestivum (bread wheat)
Lineage: Eukaryota; Viridiplantae; Streptophyta; Magnoliopsida; Poales; Poaceae
Description: partial small subunit ribosomal RNA
Source: RNAcentral
AUGCUCCGUGCGUGUACAACCGAUCCAUGUGGAAACCCGGAACACCACAGGCGAGACGCCUCCCUCGGCACCCGGCGCAUGGACCGACCCUUCGCGGUCAGGCGCUGGCGCCGUUCCUGGGUUCGGCCCGGGCUCGACCAGCGACCGCGUCGGUUGCCGUCUCUUGUCCCUUGCACUAGGAUUUCCCCUCCUCUCCCUCCCUCCACGCGGUCCAGACCAGCCAAGACCAACAAACCGCUCCAAAAGAAAAGAGAAAAGAACACCUUUCUAUUUCCCACUUUCUUUAUUUUUCCUUCUGGAACGAGGAGCCAGAAGAAACACACACCGGAGCCGCGCCGGAGCCGUCCGCCGUGCCGGCCGCGAGCCAGCGCACCGCCGGGACCCCGCCCCGCCCCGCCCCUCGGAGGGUGGAGGAGAGGAGAGGGAGGACGAGGACGACGAGGAGGCCCCAGGAGUCCCGCGGGGGAAGCUUCUAGAAGCUGCCGGAGGCGGGGCGGGGGCGAGGGCAGCGCGAUCUCGCCCGAGCCUGCCGCGCGGAGGAGGCGCCGGGCAGGGCGCCUCCCGGGUGCCGGCGCCCCCAGUGACUUGAAUGGAAGGCAGAUCUCGAGGGCGAGGGAAGCUUCUAGAAGCGGGCUGAGGAGGCGCGGUUAG